AAGGCGACUGCCUGGACUGAUACUGACACUGAGGUGCGAAAGCGUGGAGCAAACAGGAUUAGAUACCCUGGUAGUCCACGCCGUAAACGAUGUCAACUAGUUGUUGGGGGUCUUGUACCCUUAGUAACGCAGCUAACGCAUUAAGUUGACCGCCUGGGGAGUACGGCCGCAAGGUUAAAACUCAAAUGAAUUGACGGGGGCCCGCACAAGCGGUGGAGCAUGUGGUUUAAUUCGAAGCAACGCGAAGAACCUUACCUGGCCUUGACAUGUAGCGAACUUUCCAGAGAUGGAUUGGUGCCUUCGGGAACGCUAACACAGGUGCUGCAUGGCUGUCGUCAGCUCGU
This 344-nucleotide ribosomal RNA is filed under the name bacterium enrichment culture clone 14(2010). Its description in RNAcentral is "bacterial SSU rRNA". It matches the Rfam family "Bacterial small subunit ribosomal RNA", at positions 718 to 1063 of the family's 1533-position model. The record is from RNAcentral.